UCUGUCGUUGCCGCUGACAGAAUCAGAUUAUUAUUCUAAGUGUCUGACUACAUCAUGGAAAGGAUCCUUACAGAGAGACUUUUGUUAAAGAGUAAGACCCUUUUAGUUCAACAUGAAACACUCCCGAAAUCACCAUCACCAAACUCCAUCAGAUUCCAUACAAACA
Sander lucioperca (pikeperch) is the source of this 166-nucleotide long non-coding RNA. RefSeq lists it as uncharacterized. Lineage: Eukaryota; Metazoa; Chordata; Actinopteri; Perciformes; Percidae. The record is from RefSeq and is a predicted model, not a curated record. The transcript has 3 exons.